RNAcentral lists this ribosomal RNA (473 nucleotides) under uncultured Desulfovibrio sp. RNAcentral's name for it is "bacterial SSU rRNA". It matches the Rfam family "Bacterial small subunit ribosomal RNA", at positions 916 to 1381 of the family's 1533-position model. Lineage: Bacteria; Pseudomonadati; Thermodesulfobacteriota; Desulfovibrionia; Desulfovibrionales; Desulfovibrionaceae. The record is from RNAcentral.
GACGGGGCCCGCACAAGCGGUGGAGUAUGUGGUUUAAUUCGACGCAACGCGCAGAACCUUACCUAGACUUGACAUCCCGGGGAUUUUCUGGAAACAGAGAAGUGCUUUAGCAAUAAAGAACCCGGUGACAGGUGCUGCAUGGCUGUCGUCAGCUCGUGUCGUGAGAUGUUGGGUUAAGUCCCGCAACGAGCGCAACCCUCGCCUUUAGUUGCCAGCAUUCAGUUGGGCACUCUAGAGGGACUGCCGGUGUCAAACCGGAGGAAGGUGGGAUGACGUCAAGUCCUCAUGGCCUUUAUGUCUAGGGCUACACACGUACUACAAUGGCCGGUACAAAGGGCAGCCACUCAGCGAUGAGGCGCUAAUCCCAUAAAGCCGGUCUCAGUCCGGAUCGCAGUCUGCAACUCGACUGCGUGAAGUUGGAAUCGCUAGUAAUCGUAGAUCAGCAUGUCACGGUGAAUACGUUCCCGGGUCUU